AUGUACAGUAGGUGGCAGUAUGCUCCUUAAAGUUGCUUAGACUCCCGCGAUAAUGGAAAAGAAGAACUCAAUACUUACCUGAGACAUGUUUACCUUAUCAACCAACGCUGCGGCUAAGACGACAGGCAAGAAAAUUCUUCAACGAGUCCUACAUCGGGUCUGUAAGGAUAUUUGCGGGAAACAAUUGAGAAGUCAACGUAAAAAGUCCAUUUUUCGCAGCCAGAGGAGGAUCAGUCUCAUGGGAUGCGAGUGUGAAAGCUGUGUCGGACGCUUUUUUGCACGUACAAAACGGAAUUGACAUGUGGACCAACACGCGAUGCCUCACAUGGUGGGAAACCUGUGAACCUGCUGAUGUCCUAGCUGUGUGGCCUUGGACACGAUCGCUUUCUGCUCUUCACAUGAAGCAAUACUGCAACUCUCAUCAAUCAAGGAAAGAAAACUCACAAUCAGUAUUUGAAAAGGUUUUGAUCAAAGACCUAUGCAGGAAUUUAAAAUGACUCCAGCACAUUAGGAUAACAGCACUGUACAUCAAAGUCCAGGUUUUUCUCCUUUGUGUAAGGGACACAAUGAAACAAUGGAUAGACCAGUAAAUAGAAUGAAUGGUUAUUGUUCAUAAAUAUACUGGUCAGAUAUGUGUUAUGGAUGCUUGCCCUACUGAAUCAGACAUUUACAGAAUUGAGGGUAGUCAGAUCCAGGAAACUGCAAAAAUACAACUAUCUGAAUAUUACUUUAGAAAACUUUUGUCCUGGUUGUUUGUUUUUUCUUUCUAAAAUCAUUUGUAAAGUAUUUAAAAGUAAAAACUCAGGUUGUGUAUA
Xiphophorus couchianus (Monterrey platyfish) is the source of this 815-nucleotide long non-coding RNA. RefSeq lists it as uncharacterized. The transcript has 2 exons. Lineage: Eukaryota; Metazoa; Chordata; Actinopteri; Cyprinodontiformes; Poeciliidae. The record is from RefSeq and is a predicted model, not a curated record.